GUCCCAUCCAAAGGUUAUGGCCGCUUAGCGAAUGCCUGGGACCCGAGACAGGGAAUCUCCCCCAAAUUUGCAUUUCUCAUACUCUGAAUGAGGAUGAAGAUCUAUUCAAGAGUUACAGAUCAUUUGUGCUUUACUUUCUGUGAGCAUCUCUUCAGUUUCUCUAUUAAGCUCUCCUCCCGCCAGCUCCUGGAAAUCACCGUUGUGCCACCUGCUGCUAUGAGUCUGGCUGUUUGGAUUCUUCACAUAAGUGGGUCACUCCCUCUGGGGAGACCAGCUGCCCUGGCGUGAGGAUUAGAAAGCACUCCUGUGGAGAAGUCUCUGCAGCAAGUCACUGAAUCCUUCUGCUGAGAGCCAGCAAGAAAUGGAGGCUUCGGCAAGAGCCAUAUGAUGAGCCCUCUGGGCAGCAGACCCUCGGCCUCAGUCAGUCCUGGAGCUGACCGCAACCCAACUGGCAUCUUGACCACAAGCAAGGAGAGACCCCAAACCACCAACAUCCAAGCUAGGCCGCUCCCCGCGCCUGACCCCCAUGAACAAUUGGAUUAUAAGUGCUUGUGGUGUUAAGCUUCAGUGUUUUCAGGAGGUGUGUAGGCAGCGAUAGAUAAUUAUUACAAUAUACAUGAUGCAUUGAGGACAAGGAAUCAUCGAGCCAUCCCAAACUCACUCUUUCUUCCAUCCCUUUGACAUUUUCUUCUGUUCAUUCAUGUCUAUUCCAAUGAAAUACACUAACAUGUUAAGGUAAUAUAUCUAGAUGAUGGGAAAACAGUGAGACUUCUGUAUAUAUAUAUAUCAUUUUAAUCUUCCACAGCAAACAUGUCUAACUUAAAAUAUAUAAUAGAUAUCACUUAAAAAUAUACACUGCUCUGCCUUGUCUAUAAGAGAAGCCUCUUUACAAUGAUAAAAUUUACUUUAAUAUAAAAUAUUUCAAUGAAACACAUACUUAGAAAUAAGCACUACCUUGAGCAAGACUCAUUUUUUUAGGUCAUGAGACAGAAACGUUUUUGAAAGGGGAAUUCCAGUUGGAUUCCUGAAGGGGC
This 1034-nucleotide long non-coding RNA is filed under the name Equus caballus (horse). RNAcentral's name for it is "lncRNA (ENSECAG00000050289.1)". Lineage: Eukaryota; Metazoa; Chordata; Mammalia; Perissodactyla; Equidae. The record is from RNAcentral.